This 84-nucleotide ribosomal RNA is filed under the name Vibrio parahaemolyticus. RNAcentral's name for it is "partial 16S ribosomal RNA". It matches the Rfam family "Bacterial small subunit ribosomal RNA", at positions 1 to 83 of the family's 1533-position model. Lineage: Bacteria; Pseudomonadati; Pseudomonadota; Gammaproteobacteria; Vibrionales; Vibrionaceae. The record is from RNAcentral.
CUUAAAUUGAAGAGUUUGAUCAUGGCUCAGAUUGAACGCUGGCGGCAGGCCUAACACAUGCAAGUCGAGCGGAAACGAGUUAGC